GUGUAAUGUUUGUUUGGGUUUGCUUUGUCCGCCUACUGUGAUAAUUGUGAAAGUCGGAAGUGUUCGGAAUAGCAAUCGACCAACAUCUAAUGGUUCCCCGCUGCGGCCCCGGCCCGAGUAGUUUAAUGGAUCGCGUCGUGAUUGCAAGCUUCUGCCGAGACGCAUCCGGUAGGUCCACCGUCCACGUCACAGCCGCCGCAACCAGACGUCGGGUUUCCCUCAGGGAAAUUUUACAGGAUCCGCCCACCGGUCAUACGCCGAUUCCGGUAACGGACGAGCGCAAGUCGAAUGCAGGCUGGUACGCCGUUUCCGGCUGCAAUCACGGGAGUCAGUUUCAGUGGACAUCAACAUCAAAUCAAAGCUUUCCUGCUACGAGAUUUCGACGAUUUUAACGAUGAGUUUAUUUGGUUCGGGACGACAUUCGGAGAUGUCCAGGACGAUAUCUUGACCAAUGCUGCCGGAAACAUCAAGUAACUGACUUGGAUCAGGGGCAGAACAACAGCAGCAAGCUAGCGGUGACAUAACCAGGGUCGCAUCAGACGCCGAUGGGAAUCUAUUUAAGUUCAAGGUGCGGCACAUCCAGGAUUUGAGAGCCGGGCCUGAUUAUGUUUGAGAAGGGCGCUGGCAGACAGGCACAGGGGUUGUUUCCGGGGGCGAUGGCCAAAGGUUAAGGCGAUCUCAGCAGAUUAAACUGCAUUUGCAAGCAUCGGUAAUCAGUGACUUGCGUCGGCAGAUGACAGCAUUCAAGAAUUUUUCAAUCAAGUAAGUUUAGCAAUUCAAGUCCCGGCUCGGACCAACACAGCUGUGAUCGUUUCUCUUCUGGAUUCGAUUGCAAGCUGGAUCUUA
Culex pipiens pallens (northern house mosquito) is the source of this 846-nucleotide long non-coding RNA. RefSeq lists it as uncharacterized. The transcript has 3 exons. The record is from RefSeq and is a predicted model, not a curated record. Lineage: Eukaryota; Metazoa; Arthropoda; Insecta; Diptera; Culicidae.